CAAUGAACUUAAGAUUUAUUUAUAAGAAUUUUAUCUUUAUUAGAA
This 45-nucleotide transfer RNA is filed under the name Abidama producta. RNAcentral describes it as "partial tRNA-Leu". RNAcentral also lists the same sequence under 1 other name. Lineage: Eukaryota; Metazoa; Arthropoda; Insecta; Hemiptera; Cercopidae. The record is from RNAcentral.